This 319-nucleotide ribosomal RNA is filed under the name uncultured bacterium. Its description in RNAcentral is "bacterial SSU rRNA". It matches the Rfam family "Bacterial small subunit ribosomal RNA", at positions 86 to 422 of the family's 1533-position model. The record is from RNAcentral.
GCAAGAGGAGCGGCAGACGGGAGAGUAACACGUGGGAACGUACCCUUCAGUACGGAACAACCAAGGGAAACUUUGGCUAAUACCGUAUACGUCCGUAAGGAGAAAGAUUUAUCGCUGAAGGAUCGGCCCGCGUCUGAUUAGCUAGUUGGUGAGGUAACGGCUCACCAAGGCGACGAUCAGUAGCUGGUCUGAGAGGAUGAUCAGCCUCACUGGGACUGAGACACGGCCCAGACUCCUACGGGAGGCAGCAGUGGGGAAUAUUGGACAAUGGGCGCAAGCCUGAUCCAGCCAUGCCGCGUGGGUGAUGAAGGCCCUAGGG